UAGGGAAUUUUCCGCAAUGGGCGAAAGCCUGACGGAGCAAUGCCGCGUGGAGGUGGAAGGCCUACGGGUCGUCAACUUCUUUUCUCGGAGAAGAAACAAUGACGGUAUCUGAGGAAUAAGCAUCGGCUAACUCUGUGCCUG
Molecule: ribosomal RNA, 141 nt
Filed under: uncultured bacterium
Lineage: Bacteria
Description: partial 16S rRNA
Rfam family: Bacterial small subunit ribosomal RNA
Source: RNAcentral